AUGGGUUAUUGUUCCUCUUGGUCACAAGGGUGUAUGCACCGAGGGGUAGAGGAGGGGAAAAGCGUCAGACGUUCAGACUGUCAGCUCUGAGCAUGUUGCUUGUGUUUGCUGAAUGAACUGCAUGUCUCCAAAAUAUAUUUUGCAUAAUAAAGUGGACCAUUUACAACUCACUCAGGUCUGAGAAUAUCCUUUCCAACAAAGAACCUAGGGUCCAAGUCGGGACCAACAGUAUGGCAAGCCAGCCAGGAGAAGAGGAAAGUAAUUGAACGGAACCAGUCAGAACAGGAGACAACGGAGUCUGGGCGCCCUAAAAUAAAGAUCUAUACGGAGAGUCUCCACUGAGAGCAGAAGUGAUGAAAAAGUUGCAAGACAAAACCACCCCAGAGGAAAGAACAUUGUGGGCAAGCAGGGGAGGGAGAAAGACAGAGGGGAUUUGCUGGACCAUCAACUAGGGCUCUAGCUGUUUCUCUAAGCAGAUCGGUGAACAGACAGCCGUCCUGACUGUGCCCCAAACUGAGUGGGUCCUCCUGAGGGUGAUCAAAUGAAAGUGGAACCAACCGCGGUGGACGGGCCCCUGGAAGGUGGUGGAGAGAACGAGCCACGCAGUUCGGUUGGAAGGAAAGGGGGGACACUCUGUACAACUGGAGCCAGUGCACCCUCGCAGAGGAGCCCAGCAGGAGACUGGCCGAAGUGAGGACGUCGCUACAAGACAACGCCCCUGACCCGGCUGGGGAAGGGCACACACCGGCCCAGGCACCAACAGAAGGGGCAGAAUAAUCCCCUGCCUGAGGCCCACUGACACGAGACAGUCCACUCUCGUGUUUGAAGGAAGACAAGCAGGUCGCCGCCCCUAGGACAAAGACACUGACAAUUGCGAGAACAGAGAGGGUUUGAAACGCCUUGUUUAGAGGUUCUGAAACUAGUACAAGAAUAACUGUUCCGCUAAAGAUAUAAAGAUGGGUCCUCUGGGGUGGAGGGGAAGAUUAGGAACUGUUGUUUUUUCAUUUGUAUUAGUCACUGGGAUUUGGGUGUUGAACAAAGGGUCACAGACACAUGUUAAUGACUGCACUGUUUUAUUAUAGGAACACAGCAUCUACUCUGCGUAUCGAAUAGAACAGAACAGAGCGCCCGUCUAAACAGAAUAAGACUUGCAGGUGUUUCCUAACAUGCUGAUGGGUUAUUGUUCCUCUUGGUCACAACGGUGUAUGCACCGAGGGGUAGAGAAGAGUAUAAGAGAAAAGAGAAGAGGAAAAGAGUCAGACAUUCAGACUGUCAGCUCUGAGCAUGUUGCUUGUGUUUGCUGAAUGAACUGCAUGUCUCAAGAAAUAUAUUUUGCAUAAUAAA
Long non-coding RNA from Etheostoma spectabile (orangethroat darter), 1344 nucleotides. RefSeq lists it as uncharacterized. The transcript has 3 exons. Lineage: Eukaryota; Metazoa; Chordata; Actinopteri; Perciformes; Percidae. The record is from RefSeq and is a predicted model, not a curated record.